Molecule: ribosomal RNA, 749 nt
Filed under: Pseudogymnoascus sp.
Lineage: Eukaryota; Fungi; Ascomycota; Leotiomycetes; Thelebolales; Thelebolaceae
Description: partial large subunit ribosomal RNA
Rfam family: Eukaryotic large subunit ribosomal RNA
Source: RNAcentral
AUUACCUCAGUAACGGCGAGUGAAGCGGUAACAGCUCAAAUUUGAAAUCUGGCCUCACGGUCCGAGUUGUAAUUUGUAGAGGAUGCUUCGAGCAUGGUCUGGCCUAAGUUCCUUGGAACAGGACGUCAUAGAGGGUGAGAAUCCCGUAUGCGGCCAGGUGCCUACGCUCAUGUGAAGCUCCUUCGACGAGUCGAGUUGUUUGGGAAUGCAGCUCAAAAUGGGUGGUAAAUUUCAUCUAAAGCUAAAUAUUGGCCAGAGACCGAUAGCGCACAAGUAGAGUGAUCGAAAGAUGAAAAGCACUUUGGAAAGAGAGUUAAACAGUACGUGAAAUUGUUGAAAGGGAAGCGCUUGCAACCAGACUUGCGCGCGGCUGAUCAUCCGGUGUUCUCACCGGUGCACUCGGCCGUGCUCAGGCCAGCAUCGGUUUUGGCGGCUGGAUAAAGGCCCUAGGAAUGUGGCUCCUCUCGGGGAGUGUUAUAGCCUAGGGUGCAAUGCAGCCUGCUGGGACCGAGGACCGCGCUUCGGCUAGGAUGCUGGCGUAAUGGUUGUAAGCGGCCCGUCUUGAAACACGGACCAAGGAGUCUAACAUCUAUGCGAGUGUUUGGGUGUCAAACCCAUACGCGUAAUGAAAGUGAACGGAGGUGAGAACCCUUAAGGGUGCAUCAUCGACCGAUCCUGAUGUCUUUCGGAAGGAUUUGAGUAAGAGCAUAGCUGUUGGGACCCGAAAGAUGGUGAAACUAUGCCUGAAU